Molecule: long non-coding RNA, 703 nt
Filed under: Macaca mulatta (Rhesus monkey)
Lineage: Eukaryota; Metazoa; Chordata; Mammalia; Primates; Cercopithecidae
Description: lncRNA (ENSMMUG00000064132.1)
Source: RNAcentral
UGAAUCUGUCUACAUUUUCACACACAGGCCAAUAAGGUAGCCAUUUGGGUAUCCAAGUGUCUAUCAAAGCCUAUUAGAUGUCUGCAUUUAGCCAGAAGCCUGAGGAGAUGCAGGAUGGUAUAAGCUGUUAAGAUGAACGGCAGUUUGAAGUGGGCAAGCUGACACUUGGAAAUGGCAAAGGAGCCCGAAAAGGACCAAAUUACACCAAAACAUGACUGCUUAUCUCAUGAGGCAUUAUUUAUUGAGGAGGCCCAAACACAUUUUAAACAAUGUGAGCUGUGCUGAGACAACAAGAUGUUGGGCCAAAUUCCCAAACCCCUGACUCUUUGGCCAUCUGAUGCCAGUAUGGAUUUCAGAAUAUGAGACACUGAGCACAGAUGUUGGGCAAAGAAACUUCUGGUAUAGAGGAAGACAACGAAGGAUGGACACAAGAACCACUGCAAGAACUAGAAUUAAAGUACAGCUGGCAAAGCACACUGACCAUGGAGGUGAUAGCUUCAGAAUUUCUGACUACCCCAGGUUCACGAGAACAUCAAGAGAGAGACAACACUGGAGGUCAUGACUGGAGAUCAGUUGAGGAAUAAUUAGGAGAAAGGAUUUUUCUGGGAAAAGAACUUGGUUACGCAUGAUUGAACACGCCCUACACCUGGAACUGGGACAUAAAAGGCAGCAGUGAGAACGGAUGUGAAUAGAUUCUAUCCCA